This 395-nucleotide ribosomal RNA is filed under the name uncultured bacterium. Its description in RNAcentral is "bacterial SSU rRNA". It matches the Rfam family "Bacterial small subunit ribosomal RNA", at positions 358 to 770 of the family's 1533-position model. The record is from RNAcentral.
GGAAUAUUGGACAAUGGGGGAAACCCUGAUCCAGCAAUGCCGCGUGAGUGAAGAAGGCCUUAGGGUUGUAAAACUCUUUCAGUGGGGAAGAUAAUGACGGUACCCACAGAAGAAGCUCCGGCUAACUCCGUGCCAGCAGCCGCGGUAAUACGGAGGGAGCUAGCGUUGUUCGGAAUUACUGGGCAUAAAGCGCACGUAGGCGGAUCGGAAAGUUGGGGGUGAAAUCCCGGGGCUCAACCCCGGAACUGCCUCCAAAACUAUCGGUCUAGAGUUCGAGAGAGGUGAGUGGAAUUCCGAGUGUAGAGGUGAAAUUCGUAGAUAUUCGGAGGAACACCAGUGGCGAAGGCGGCUCACUGGCUCGAUACUGACGCUGAGGUGCGAAAGCGUGGGGAGCA